This 2153-nucleotide long non-coding RNA is filed under the name Monodelphis domestica (gray short-tailed opossum). RNAcentral's name for it is "lncRNA (ENSMODG00000045427.1)". Lineage: Eukaryota; Metazoa; Chordata; Mammalia; Didelphimorphia; Didelphidae. The record is from RNAcentral.
CAGAGAAUCAAAAGGAGACUUGAGACUGAACUACAGAGAUGGUGAAGCCUCCUUGCAGCCUAGAGAGAUGCCUGGAGAGUCCUCGGGCUCUGAUUGGGCAGCUCCUUAGCCAUGGGUGGGAGUAAGAGGAGAACUUCCUGUUUGAAUGGUAGGGUUCCUUGGAACAAGUUCUGGUCCAAUGAUUCCAGCUGUUUGCUGUCUCCCUUUCACCUAGUCAGCCCCCAGCUGUCCCAGGCGUGCAGGCUUUGCUGGUUCCUCAAGUUCCUGCUGACUGCCCAAGAUGAGCCCAGGAGACCAAGUGAUGGUGGUCAACCCCCUGAUACCUGGAUCCCAGGUGUCUGUGAUAUUUGAUGAUGUGGCUGUGUACCUCACCCAGGAGGAAUGAGGUUGCCUGGGUCCUGUUCAAAGGGGUCUCUAUAAGGAUGUGAUGCUGGAAAAUUAUGGAAACCUAGUCUCACUCGGAUUUCCAAUAUCCAAACCUGAUAUGAUCUCCCAGCUGGAGCAAGGGGAAGAACCAUGGGUUCUGAACUCUCGACAGAGGGUAGAAGAGACAGAUAUUUUGAGAGGCAACUGUUCAGAUUGUGUAACCAGGAUUCAGAACAUAGAACUAUCUCUAAAGAAAGAAAUUUCAGAAGAAAUGGAAUCUCAGUGGCUGAGAGAAGAAAAACUCAUAAAGGAUAUUUCCAAAGGACUAUGUCUUGGAGAAACCUGGGAAAGUCAGGCCAUAUUAUGGAAAAAUGAAAGUCUUACCAUGGAGAGAUUGAAGAAAUCACCUUCUAAGGAGAACAGUUUCAGGCCAAUGUUAAUCAAUCACCCAGGAGAAAAUCUCCAUAGCUGAGGAAGGGCAGAAAUAUGACAGAUGUGGAAGAAACUGGAAUCUGAAUUCAAACACUGUUUCAUGCCAAGGAUUUUCUAUAAGAGAGGAACUCCAUAAAUGUGAUGCACGUGAUCAAAACUUCAAACAUAAUUCACAUGUUAAUAAUAUAUCUAAAAAGCCAUGUAAAUAUAAUGAAUCAGGAAACUUCGUUCAUUGGAGUUCAGCCCUUAAAGUACAUCAGAAAAUUCAUUUUGGAGGAAAACCUCAUGAAUGUAAUGAAUGUGGGAAAGCCUUCAAAGGGAAUACAGACCUUGUUAGACAUCAGAGGUAUAACACUGUUGAGAAGCCCUAUGAGUGUAGUGAAUGUGAGAAAGCUUUCAUUCAGAUCUCUAACCUUAUACAGCAUCAGAGAAUUUAUACUGGAGAGAAACCCUACAAAUGUAGUCAAUGUGGGAAAGCUUUCAUUCAGAGUUCUAACCUGAUUCAACAUUGCAGAAAAUGCCAUGGAGAAAAACCCUAUGAAUGUACUUGUGAAUUUUAAAAUCUCCAUCUUGGUCUAGCACCCAAAAUUGUGCACACCCACACUACAUGGGCAUGUGCUAGUCAAUGACAAAUCAGAAAUAACUAACUGGCCACCUGGGCUGUCCUAAGCCAAGCUUGAGCCAUCAUUGGCACUUGUGAGGCACAGGAAGUGACGGAGAGAGCAGCCUCGGGAAUUCGCUCACUUCCUGUGGACAGGGCAAGACGGCGGUUCAUGUUAGAAGCUUGAACAGGGAGGAGGCCCACAGACAGCUUCCCUUCAGAUCGGUCACAUGAGUCAAGGACUGAUUCCUUCCACCUUGGCCCUUUGGGCCUAAACUCCCUCUGCCUUGGUAAGAGGUUGAGUAACCCCUUUCCCUUUUCUCCUCUCUCCUUCUCUCCCUCACCUUUUCCCUACUCCCAUUGUGAUUAAACCUCCAUAAACUCCAUUCUGACUUGAGUGUUUCAUUUUAGGAAUUUCAUAAGUAAAUUCCUUGGUGGCCAUAGUUCAAUAUUAUAACAAUCUUAAAAGGUGAAAUUUUCACUACAACAUAUUGAAUGUGGGAAAGCCUUCAGUGAAUGCUCAAUUCUUAUUGAACAUCAUAGAAUUCAUACUGGAGAAAAACCCUAUGUAUGCAAUGAAUGUGGGAGAGCCUUUGUCCAGAGCUCAAACCUUAGUCAACAUCAGAGAAUUCAUACUGGAGAAAAACCCUAUGUAUGUAGCCAAUGUGGAAAAGCCUUCAGGCAAAGCACUAAUCUUAUUCAACAUCAGAGAACACAUAAUAAAGAGAAACCCUAUGAAUGUAGUGAAUGUGGG